Acipenser ruthenus (sterlet) is the source of this 654-nucleotide long non-coding RNA. RefSeq lists it as uncharacterized. The transcript is spliced from 4 exons. Lineage: Eukaryota; Metazoa; Chordata; Actinopteri; Acipenseriformes; Acipenseridae. The record is from RefSeq and is a predicted model, not a curated record.
CCAGAAUGUCAAUUUUGCUGUUUUGUUCUCACGCUUGCAUUUACUUUACAUUGAAUUCUGUUGGUAAAUCUUGUAUAUGGCCUCUUGAGUGGGUAAUACAGGGAUUGUCUUGCAAAUGGUAUAGUCCAAUCAAAUUGGGCUUUGCUUUUGUUGUCUAAAAGCAAAGUUUUUCCUAUCUAAAAGGUGAGCUCAUAUAUUGGGACUGAUGUAGACUGAUUUUUUUAUUUUUUUUGGUCUAGAUACACCUCUUGGUGAUUCAAGUGUCCCAAUACACAGGAGCAGGUCACCUCAGCAAACUCCACACAGGAGACCAUCCCGGUCGCCACCCAGAACCAUUGCUCAGCUUACUUCUCCAAAAACGGCUGAUUUCUACCACUAGUAGCCAUGGGAGCAUUUCUCCAGGCAGUCACCAUGUGAGUGCUAAAAGGCCAAGUGAGCAGAGGACAGCUCCUAAUAAUAAAGCACUUCAUCGAACAGACAAAAGUGUGAAGGCCAGGGUAGUGGAAGACCUCAUAGCAGAGACGCUAAGAUAUGUGCCUCACCGAGGAGAAAAGGAAUGACAGGGGGCAGUUUGAACUGAAAAGCUGGACAGACAGAGGAAGAAAAUGGUUCAUUUUUAAUUUCUAAUAAACGUGGUCAUCGGACCUAAACCCA